Molecule: ribosomal RNA, 800 nt
Filed under: Leucobacter sp. cb16
Lineage: Bacteria; Bacillati; Actinomycetota; Actinomycetes; Micrococcales; Microbacteriaceae
Description: bacterial SSU rRNA
Rfam family: Bacterial small subunit ribosomal RNA
Source: RNAcentral
AUGCAGUCGACGCUGAGCUCCCAGCUUGCUGGGGGUGGAUGAGUGGCGAACGGGUGAGUAACACGUGAGUAACCUGCCCCGAACUCUGGGAUAAGCGCUGGAAACGGCGUCUAAUACUGGAUAUGUCCUAUCACCGCAUGGUGUGUAGGUGGAAAGAAUUUCGGUUCGGGAUGGACUCGCGGCCUAUCAGCUAGAUGGUGAGGUAAUGGCUCACCAUGGCGACGACGGGUAGCCGGCCUGAGAGGGUGACCGGCCACACUGGGACUGAGACACGGCCCAGACUCCUACGGGAGGCAGCAGUGGGGAAUAUUGCACAAUGGGCGCAAGCCUGAUGCAGCAACGCCGCGUGAGGGAUGACGGCCUUCGGGUUGUAAACCUCUUUUAGUAGGGAAGAAGCGCAAGUGACGGUACCUGCAGAAAAAGCACCGGCUAACUACGUGCCAGCAGCCGCGGUAAUACGUAGGGUGCAAGCGUUGUCCGGAAUUAUUGGGCGUAAAGAGCUCGUAGGCGGCUUGUCGCGUCUGCUGUGAAAACCAGAGGCUCAACCUCUGGCCUGCAGUGGGUACGGGCAAGCUAGAGUGCGGUAGGGGAGAUUGGAAUUCCUGGUGUAGCGGUGGAAUGCGCAGAUAUCAGGAGGAACACCGAUGGCGAAGGCAGAUCUCUGGGCCGUAACUGACGCUGAGGAGCGAAAGCAUGGGGAGCGAACAGGAUUAGAUACCCUGGUAGUCCAUGCCGUAAACGUUGGGAACUAGAUGUAGGGCCUGUUCCACGGGUUCUGUGUCGUAGCUAACGCAUUAAGU